Molecule: ribosomal RNA, 508 nt
Filed under: uncultured bacterium
Lineage: Bacteria
Description: partial 16S ribosomal RNA
Rfam family: Bacterial small subunit ribosomal RNA
Source: RNAcentral
GAUGAACGCUAGCUACAGGCUUAACACAUGCCAGUCGAGGGGAAACGACAUCGAAAGCUUGCUUUUGAUGGGCGUCGACCGGCGAACGGGUGAGUAACGCGUAUCGAACCUGCCCACAACUUGGGGAUAAACUUGCGAAAGUAAGACUAAUACCCACUGAUAUCACUAGAAGACCUCUGAAAGAGAUUCAAGAUUUACCGGUGAUGGAUGGGGAUGCGUCUGAUUAGCUUGUUGGCGGGGAAACGGCCCACCAAGGCUACGAUCAGAAGGGGUUCUGGGAGGAAGGUCCCCCACCUUGAAACGGAGACACGGUCCAAACUCCUACGUGAUGCAGCAGUGAGGGAGAUGGGUCAAUGGACGGGAGUCUGAACCUGCCAAGUAGCGUGCAGGAUGACGGCCCUAUGGGUUGUAAACUGCUUUUAUAAGGGAAUAAAGUGAGUCUCGUGAGACUUUUUGCAUGUACCUUAUGAAUAAGGACCGGCUAAUUCCGUGCCAGCAGCCGCAGUAA